UUAUUGGGCGUAAAGCGAGCGCAGGCGGUUCUUUAAGUCUGAUGUGAAAGCCCCUGGCUCAACCAGGGAGGGUCAUUGGAAACUGGAGAACUUGAGUGCAGAAGAGGAAAGUGGAAUUCCAUGUGUAGCGGUGAAAUGCGUAGAUAUAUGGAGGAACACCAGUGGCGAAGGCGACUUUCUGGUCUGUAACUGACGCUGAGGCUCGAAAGCAUGGGGAGCAAACAGGAUUAGAUACCCUGGUAGUCCAUGCCGUAAACGAUGAGUGCUAAGUGUUGGAGGGUUUCCGCCCUUCAGUGCUGCAGCUAACGCAUUAAGCACUCCGCCUGGGGAGUACGACCGCAAGGUUGAAACUCAAAGGAAUUGACGGGGGCCCGCACAAGCGGUGGAGCAUGUGGUUUAAUUCGAAGCAACGCGAAGAACCUUACCAGGUCUUGACAUCCUUUGACCACUCUAGAGAUAGAGCUUUCCCUUCGGGGACAAAGUGACAGGUGGUGCAUGGUUGUCGUCAGCUCGUGUCGUGAGAUGUUGGGUUAAGUCCCGCAACGAGCGCAACCCUUAUUAUUAGUUGCCAGCAUUCAGUUGGGCACUCUAGUGAGACUGCCGGUGAUAAACCGGAGGAGGGUGGGGAUGACGUCAAAUCAUCAUGCCCCUUAUGACCUGGGCUACACACGUGCUACAAUGGAUGGUACAACGAGUCGCAAAACCGCGAGGUUAAGCUAAUCUCUUAAAGCCAUUCUCAGUUCGGAUUGUAGGCUGCAAUUCGCCUACAUGAAGCCGGAAUCGCUAGU
This 788-nucleotide ribosomal RNA is filed under the name uncultured bacterium. RNAcentral describes it as "bacterial SSU rRNA". It matches the Rfam family "Bacterial small subunit ribosomal RNA", at positions 551 to 1339 of the family's 1533-position model. The record is from RNAcentral.